UACAGAGGAUGCAAGCGUUAUCCGGAAUGAUUGGGCGUAAAGCGUCUGUAGGUGGCUUUUUAAGUCCGCCGUCAAAUCCCAGGGCUCAACUCUGGAACAGGCGGUGGAAACUACCAAGCUGGAGUACGGUAGGGGGCAGGAGGGAAUUUCCGGUGGAGCGGUGAAAGUGAGCGUAGAGAUCGGAAAGAACACCAACGGCGAAAGCACUCUGCUGGGCCGACACUGACACUGAGAGACGAAAGCUAGGGGAGCGAAUGGG
Molecule: ribosomal RNA, 259 nt
Filed under: uncultured bacterium
Lineage: Bacteria
Description: partial 16S ribosomal RNA
Rfam family: Bacterial small subunit ribosomal RNA
Source: RNAcentral